GACGAACGCUGGCGGCGUGCCUAACACAUGCAAGUCGAACGGAAAGGCCCUGCUCUUGUGGGGUGCUCGAGUGGCGAACGGGUGAGUAACACGUGAGUAACCUGCCCUUGACUUUGGGAUAACAUUAGGAAACUGGGGCUAAUAUCGGAUAGGAGCUCCUGCUGCAUGGUGGGGGUUGGAAAGUUUCGGCGGUGGGGGAUGGACUCGCGGCUUACCCGCUGGUUGGUGGGGUAGUGGCUUACCAAGGUUUUGACGGGUAGCCUGCCUGAGAGCGUAACCGGCGACAUUAGGACUGAGAUACGCCCCAGACGCCUACGGGAGGCAGCAGUGGAAAGUAUUGCGCAGUGAGCGGGAGCCUGAUGCAGCAGCGCCGCGUGCGGGAUGACGGCCUUCGGGUUGUAAACCGCUUUCGCCUGUGACGAGGCGUGAGUGACGGUAAUGAGUAAAGAAGCACCGGCUAACUACGUG
RNAcentral lists this ribosomal RNA (468 nucleotides) under uncultured bacterium. RNAcentral describes it as "partial 16S ribosomal RNA". It matches the Rfam family "Bacterial small subunit ribosomal RNA", at positions 28 to 507 of the family's 1533-position model. The record is from RNAcentral.